GACGAACGCUGGCGGCGUGCUUAACACAUGCAAGUCGAACGGAAAGGCCCUGCUUUUGUGGGGUGCUCGAGUGGCGAACGGGUGAGUAACACGUGAGUAACCUGCCCUUGACUUUGGGAUAACUUCAGGAAACUGGGGCUAAUACCGGAUAGGAGCUCCUGCUGCAGGGUGGGGGGUGGAAAGUUUCGGCGGUUGGGGAUGGACUCGCGGCUUAUCAGCUUGUUGGUGGGGUAGUGGCUUACCAAGGCUUUGACGGGUAGCCGGCCUGAGAGGGUGACCGGCCACCUUGGGACUGCGAUACGGCCCAGACUCCUACGGGAGGCAGCAGUGGGGAAUAUUGCACAAUGGGCGGAAGCCUGAUGCAGCAACGCCGCGUGCGGGAUGACGGCCUUCGGGUUGUGAACCGCUUUCGCCUGUGACGAAGCGUGAGUGACGGUAAUGGGUAAAGAAGCACCGGCUAACUACGUG
Molecule: ribosomal RNA, 468 nt
Filed under: uncultured bacterium
Lineage: Bacteria
Description: partial 16S ribosomal RNA
Rfam family: Bacterial small subunit ribosomal RNA
Source: RNAcentral